Molecule: ribosomal RNA, 459 nt
Filed under: uncultured Desulfocapsa sp.
Lineage: Bacteria; Pseudomonadati; Thermodesulfobacteriota; Desulfobulbia; Desulfobulbales; Desulfocapsaceae
Description: bacterial SSU rRNA
Rfam family: Bacterial small subunit ribosomal RNA
Source: RNAcentral
ACAAGCGGUGGAGUAUGUGGUUUAAUUCGACGCAACGCGCAGAACUUACCUGGUCUUGACAUCCCGAGAAUUUCCUGGAAACAGGAAAGUGCCUCGCAAGAGGAACUUGGUGACAGGUGCUGCAUGGCUGUCGUCAGCUCGUGUCGUGAGAUGUUGGGUUAAGUCCCGCAACGAGCGCAACCCUUGUCUUUAGUUGCCAUCAUUAAGUUGGGCACUCUAAAGAGACUGCCGGUGUCAAACCGGAGGAAGGUGGGGAUGACGUCAAGUCCUCAUGGCCUUUAUGACCAGGGCUACACACGUACUACAAUGGCAGGUACAAAGGGCAGCCACUUAGCGAUAAGGAGCGAAUCCCGUAAAACCUGUCUCAGUCCGGAUUGGAGUCUGCAACUCGACUCCAUGAAGUUGGAAUCGCUAGUAAUCGCAGAUCAGCACGCUGCGGUGAAUACGUUCCCGGGCCUU